UACCAGCACCCCGAGUGGUCGGGACGAUUAUUGGGCCUAAAGCAUCCGUAGCCGGUUCUGCAAGUCCCCCGUUAAAUCCAGCUGCUCAACAGAUGGGCCGCGGAGGAUACUACAGAGCUAGGAGGCAGGAGAGGCAAGCGGUACUCGAUGGGUAGGGGUAAAAUCCGUUGAUCCAUUGAAGACCACCAGUGGCGAAGGCGGCUUGCCAGAACGCGCUCGACGGUGAGGGAUGAAAGCUGGGGGAGCAAACCAG
Molecule: ribosomal RNA, 253 nt
Filed under: uncultured bacterium
Lineage: Bacteria
Description: partial 16S ribosomal RNA
Rfam family: Archaeal small subunit ribosomal RNA
Source: RNAcentral